GUUUUUUUCAUGUCCAAUGUUUGACCAUUUAUCUUAUUUGAAAUUUUUUUAUGAUUAAUAUUUUUAUUAUUACUAGAUGAUAAAAUAUAAAUAGUAUUUUAUACAUGACUAAUUUUUUUUAGGUUUUUGUACUAAUUUUUUAAAUAAAAUAAAUAGUUAAACGUUGAAUAGAAAAAACGAAAAAUAAGAUUAUU
Molecule: microRNA precursor, 194 nt
Filed under: Oryza brachyantha (malo sina)
Lineage: Eukaryota; Viridiplantae; Streptophyta; Magnoliopsida; Poales; Poaceae
Description: MIR812 microRNA precursor family
Rfam family: MIR812 microRNA precursor family
Source: Rfam by way of RNAcentral